UCCCGGUUAACCCGGGCAGUCUCGUUAGAGUUCCCACCUUUACGUGUUGGCAACUAACGAUAAGGGUUGCGCUCGUUGCGGGACUUAACCCAACACCUCACAGCACGAGCUGACGACAGCCAUGCAGCACCUGUGUAAUAGCUCCGAAGAGCAAGCCACCUUUCAAUGGCUUUUCCACUACAUGUCAAAUCUAGGUAAGGUUCUUCGCGUUGCAUCGAAUUAAACCACAUGCUCCACUGCUUGUGCGAGCCCCCGUCAAUUCUUUUGAGUUUCACCCUUGCGAGUGUACUCCUCAGGCGGCAUACUUAUCGCGUUAGCUACGACACAGUCGGGGUUGAGCCCAACUACAUCUAGUAUGCAUCGUUUACGGCAAGGACUAC
This 380-nucleotide unclassified non-coding RNA is filed under the name uncultured Chlamydiales bacterium. Its description in RNAcentral is "contains 16S-23S intergenic spacer region". The record is from RNAcentral. Lineage: Bacteria; Pseudomonadati; Chlamydiota; Chlamydiia; Chlamydiales.